This 934-nucleotide long non-coding RNA is filed under the name Equus caballus (horse). Its description in RNAcentral is "lncRNA (ENSECAG00000033531.2)". Lineage: Eukaryota; Metazoa; Chordata; Mammalia; Perissodactyla; Equidae. The record is from RNAcentral.
GGGGGCCCGCCCGCGCCCCUGCACCCGCCGCACCUUCUCCUCCUGGGAAAGUUCUCGAGCCCGACCCUGCGGCCUGCCGCCGGAGGGGGCAGCGGGCCCGUCCGGGCGAGCUGCGUGGAAAAGGAGAAGGAGAAAGGGAAGGGGAGGAAGGGGCGGGGAGGCUGGCGGGGCGAUCCCCUCCGACCCCACUUUCCGCCCCGGCGUGGGCCGCUCUGUCUCUCCCAGCGACACCAUUGUCACCCCCUCCAGGGGCGAGGAGUUUGGGCUCUGGGGUCAGGCUGCUUCGGUGCACAUCUUGCUCCACUCCUUACAAGUGUGCGCUUAGGCAACUUACUUUACCCAUCCCUGCAGAAAAAGAAAAGGCUAGGACCCGUCCAGGGCCAAUCCAGAGUGUGUGGGGCCUGACACGCCAAAGACGCGGGCGAGGGGAGCGGCCUUGCUCGGGGACAGGUGGCCGUCAGACUCGAGGCUCUGCAAGGGGCUGCACAGCGAGGGCCCUGAAGCCGCAGCUUCGUUUGCUCCGUGUUGAACGCCUCUGUACGGCUCUUGACUAAGACAAACAAUAACGCAAUGAGCUCGCCGCGUCUAAGGUGCACUUUGCAUACUUUUCUCAUGGAAGCUCCACAUCUCUUUGCUGUAGGUCACUAUUGGUCAACAAAAUGGGCAAAUCAAAUUUAAAGAGGGAGCAGAAGGCAGAAGGAAAGAAGAGAGGAGAAUAAAAGGACCACAGGCAAGCCGACUUCAGAGGUCAUCUCUUCAUCCAUGCUGGUGAGCACUUGGAAGGAGAGCAUGAACUAAUGACCAUCCGAUCCGUGGCAGGCUGCAGAACAGAACGUGAGGGAGAAAGGAGCCGUAGAUGCUUUCUUAAGUGACCUGCAGAAAAAGGGAGGCUCUUGGGCCUGAAGUUUAAAGAAAUAAGUGAAGGAGGUCAAAA